Molecule: long non-coding RNA, 844 nt
Organism: Felis catus (domestic cat)
Lineage: Eukaryota; Metazoa; Chordata; Mammalia; Carnivora; Felidae
Exons: 3
Source: RefSeq, a predicted model, not a curated record
CCCCCCCCGACUCCCCACUGGCUUCUGGCCCACUUGCGCCCCUCCCCCACCAUGGCCUCUACCCUUCCAGCCAUCCUUGUAUUCAGUCCACACAUAGUCACGUUGUAAAUCAUCUUAGAGCCGUCGGUGGUCCAUCCAUGCGGAAGCGUAUGACUCGGCGGUAAAAAGGAGUGAGGUGCUGACACUCUACCACGCGGGUGAACCCAGAAAACACACUGCGUGCAGUAAGCCAGGCACAAAGGUCACGUCUCGUCUGAUUCCAUUGAUGAGAAAUGUCCAGAACAGUUUCCUAGCCAUCCAGCUUUCUCCUUCCUCGAGCUGCCUGUGUGGACCCCCCAGAAACACUCUGCACAUUGGAGCAAAUCUCUCCAUCUGUAUCAUAAGACUUGGAAGCAACCCAGACGUCCUUCGGGGGGUGAAUGGAUAAACCAUGGGACAUCCAGACAAGGGAAUGUUACUCAGCGCUAAAAAGGGAGGAGCUCUCCAGCUGUGAAAAGACACAGAGGAACCUCAAAUGCAUGUCGCUAAGCGAGAGAAGCCAGUCUGAAAAGGCUACACACGGUAUGAUUCCAACUCGAUGACAUUCUGGAAAAGGCAAAAGCACGCAGACAGUAAGUAAAAGGAUCCGUGGCUGCCAGGGGUGGGGAGGCGGGAGAGAUGAACAGACGGAGCACAGGGGAUUUUUUACGGCAGUGAAAUACACUGUAUGUCACCACAAUGAUGGAUACAUUCAUUAUCCAUUUGUCCAAAGCCAUAGAGUGAACCCCAAUGUAAACCAUUGACUCUGGGGGCGCCUGGGUGGCUCAGUCGGUUAAGCGUCCGACUCUUGAUCUCGGCUCAGGUC